UACGUAGGGUGCAAGCGUUGUCCGGAAUUAUUGGGCGUAAAGGGCUCGUAGGCGGUUUGUCGCGUCGGGAGUGAAAACCUCGGGCUUAACUCGGGGCUUGCUUUCGAUACGGGCAGACUAGAGGUAUGCAGGGGAGAACGGAAUUCCUGGUGUGGCGGUGAAAUGCGCAGAUAUCAGGAGGAACACCGAUGGCGAAGGCAGAUCUCUGGGCCAUUACUGACGCUGAGGAGCGAAAGCGUGGGGAGCGAACAGG
This 253-nucleotide ribosomal RNA is filed under the name uncultured bacterium. Its description in RNAcentral is "partial 16S ribosomal RNA". It matches the Rfam family "Bacterial small subunit ribosomal RNA", at positions 524 to 776 of the family's 1533-position model. The record is from RNAcentral.